Molecule: ribosomal RNA, 667 nt
Filed under: Lacticaseibacillus rhamnosus
Lineage: Bacteria; Bacillati; Bacillota; Bacilli; Lactobacillales; Lactobacillaceae
Description: bacterial SSU rRNA
Rfam family: Bacterial small subunit ribosomal RNA
Source: RNAcentral
GCUCAGGAUGAACGCGGCGGCGUGCCUAAUACAUGCAAGUCGAACGAGUUCUGAUUAUUGAAAGGUGCUUGCAUCUUGAUUUAAUUUUGAACGAGUGGCGGACGGGUGAGUAACACGUGGGUAACCUGCCCUUAAGUGGGGGAUAACAUUUGGAAACAGAUGCUAAUACCGCAUAAAUCCAAGAACCGCAUGGUUCUUGGCUGAAAGAUGGCGUAAGCUAUCGCUUUUGGAUGGACCCGCGGCGUAUUAGCUAGUUGGUGAGGUAACGGCUCACCAAGGCAAUGAUACGUAGCCGAACUGAGAGGUUGAUCGGCCACAUUGGGACUGAGACACGGCCCAAACUCCUACGGGAGGCAGCAGUAGGGAAUCUUCCACAAUGGACGCAAGUCUGAUGGAGCAACGCCGCGUGAGUGAAGAAGGCUUUCGGGUCGUAAAACUCUGUUGUUGGAGAAGAAUGGUCGGCAGAGUAACUGUUGUCGGCGUGACGGUAUCCAACCAGAAAGCCACGGCUAACUACGUGCCAGCAGCCGCGGUAAUACGUAGGUGGCAAGCGUUAUCCGGAUUUAUUGGGCGUAAAGCGAGCGCAGGCGGUUUUUUAAGUCUGAUGUGAAAGCCCUCGGCUUAACCGAGGAAGUGCAUCGGAAACUGGGAAACUGAGUGCAGAAGA